GCAUUCAAUAUUACACAAAGGAGAGAAGCCGUUCAAGUGUGACACAUGUGGUGUUGCUUUCACUCAGAAAGGGAAUUUAAACACUCCUAUGAGAAUACACAUGUAGGAUAGAAGCCGUUCAAGUGUGACACAUGUGGUGCUUUUUUAACUUUAAGAGUAGUUUAACGAAGCACUCAAUAUUACACAAAGGAGAGAAGCCGUUCAAGUGUGACACAUGUGGUGUUGCUUUCACUCAGAAAAGGGAAUUUAGAGACUCACAUGAGAAAACACACAGGAGAGAAACCGUAUACGUGAGAGACAUGUGGUGCUUUUUCACUAAAAAACGUAGUUUAACAAAGCACUCAAUAAUACACACAGGAGAGAAGCCGUUCAAGUGCUGAUUUCACGUAAAAAAACUAAACUCAUGAAAAAAACAUACUUAACAGAAGCCAUAAACGUUCGAUAUUUGUAUGUACUGAUAAAUUAUUUGAUGUUUUAAAACCCGGGACGUAUUACAUUAAAGUUUAACAAACCUCAUCUCUUCAUGAUUGCAUCGCACAGGUUGACCCUUGCUGCAGCCCAGGCAGUCAAGGACGCGAGGGUUCCACAUACCUUCACCGCUUGAAGGAUAUUAUAGGUGACCUUUACAGGCUCAAGGACAAGAGCCCUGUCAGAGCAAGUGGCUUGAGGGAUAAUUAAUUCUCUUAGAAAAUUUGAAAGUUGAACGCAUGUAAGUCACUCCUUUUUAAAGAUUUUUAUGCAGCCAAAAUACUUAGUAAGUCCUGUUCGAGGUUUUUCAUUUUCCAUAUUGCGAAUCCCAUACUUAUUUGUGUUAAUUUAAAGCAACAACUAUCUUGAUGAAGUGCCAGUAAUCCGUAUUCACCAGCCUGGAGGUAGGCAUAGGAACGAACCGAUGUGAGGGAAACCGGUCUUGCAAAGUUCACACAGGACCAACUCUUUGUGAUGUCCCUUCACAUGAUGGCUGCUGUGUUGGCUCACCUAACAGAAAUGUCUGUUGCCAUGCAGACAAGAGAUGCCGUGUAUACCACCGUCAAGCCACUGGUGAAGAGGACGUGUGUUAUCAUGAAUGGACUGCUGGCAAUGCCGGGAGGUGCCUUCGAAAUGUCUGUAGAUCGCGUAACUGCCCUCAAAACAUCGAGACUUUACCAUCAGACCAUCAAGGCAGAUAACGACUAGUUCCGGAACAAGAUCUACUACCCCUUCCUGGCAAACACUGUGCAGAACCUAGAGGAUCGAUUCUCGGACCUGCCACUCCUCCAGAAGUUUCCUGGGGUGGAGCCAACCUAACAUGGGGAAUAUGACAUUAUGGGACCUGGCUGAGCACUUCCACCAUCACUUAGACAAGUGAAAAGAGACAGAUGUGAAGCUCUCUUGGUGACAUCAGCCUUAGAGCAGACCAGGCCAUGGAGUGGGUGACCACCAACCUGACGACCGGGCACAUCAACAUUUAUUAGCUGGCAGCAGUUGGCCAACUCGUCAACGGCUGACUGUGAGAGAGGGUUUACAACACUGAAGAGUGUGGAUAUCAAACACCGAUCUUCACUCUCCAACUUAGUCCUGAACAGCCUGCUCACAUUCAGCAUGAUUGGGCACCAACUGCUGUAUUUCACUAGGAUGGUGAAAGAAUGGCAUGGGACCAAGACGUUUAGAAUUAUGAUUUACUUCAUUAAUUUUGGUGCAUGCUGUAUGUUCUCAUGUUGUGUAUUGAAAUUUUAAUUUCUUUUCUUGAUAUUGCAUUUAUUUUACUCCGAUAUAUUGACAGUUGAUUGAUAUUUAUGUAUUGUGUAUUAAUUGUUUUUUGAUGGUUUGAUUUUUUUCUUAUUAUAUUUAUUGUUAUCAUUUUAUUCAU
Molecule: long non-coding RNA, 1849 nt
Organism: Mya arenaria
Lineage: Eukaryota; Metazoa; Mollusca; Bivalvia; Myida; Myidae
Exons: 5
Source: RefSeq, a predicted model, not a curated record